RNAcentral lists this ribosomal RNA (301 nucleotides) under uncultured bacterium. RNAcentral describes it as "partial 16S ribosomal RNA". It matches the Rfam family "Bacterial small subunit ribosomal RNA", at positions 509 to 807 of the family's 1533-position model. The record is from RNAcentral.
CAGUCGCCGCGGGAAUACGGAGGGGGCUAGCGUUGUUCGGAAUUACUGGGCGUAAAGCGCACGUAGGCGGCUUGGUAAGUUAGAGGUGAAAGCCUGGAGCUCAACUCCAGAAUUGCCUUUAAGACUGCCGAGCUAGCAGGUGAGAGAGGUAAGUGGAAUUCCGAGUGUAGAGGUGAAAUUCGUAGAUAUUCGGAAGAACACCAGUGGCGAAGGCGGCUUACUGGCUCAUACUGGACGCUGAGGUGCGAAAGCGUGGGGAGCAAACAGGAUUAGAGACCCGUGUAGUCCCUGUCUCUUAUAC